RNAcentral lists this transfer RNA (87 nucleotides) under Oceanospirillaceae bacterium. RNAcentral's name for it is "tRNA-Leu". It matches the Rfam family "tRNA". Rfam says of the family: Transfer RNA (tRNA) molecules are approximately 80 nucleotides in length. The record is from RNAcentral. Lineage: Bacteria; Pseudomonadati; Pseudomonadota; Gammaproteobacteria; Oceanospirillales; Oceanospirillaceae.
GCCAGAGUGGUGAAAUUGGUAGACACAGGGGAUUCAAAAUCCCCCGGGGUAACACCCGUGCCGGUUCGAGUCCGGCCUCUGGUACCA